UACGUAGGGGGCAAGCGUUGUCCGGAAUCAUUGGGCGUAAAGAGCGUGUAGGCGGUCCGGUAAGUCGGCUGUGAAAGUCCAGGGCUCAACCCUGGGAUGCCGGUCGAUACUGCCGGACUAGAGUUCGGAAGAGGCGAGUGGAAUUCCCGGUGUAGCGGUGAAAUGCGCAGAUAUCGGGAGGAACACCUAUGGCGAAGGCAGCUCGCUGGGACGUUACUGACGCUGAGGUGCGAAAGCGUGGGGAGCAAACAGG
RNAcentral lists this ribosomal RNA (253 nucleotides) under uncultured bacterium. RNAcentral's name for it is "partial 16S ribosomal RNA". It matches the Rfam family "Bacterial small subunit ribosomal RNA", at positions 524 to 776 of the family's 1533-position model. The record is from RNAcentral.